RNA transcript from Lutra lutra (Eurasian river otter), 1567 nucleotides. RefSeq lists it as uncharacterized. The transcript has 5 exons. The record is from RefSeq and is a predicted model, not a curated record. NCBI's taxonomy places the organism in Eukaryota, Metazoa, Chordata, Mammalia, Carnivora, Mustelidae.
CCCAGAGGCACACUCAUGAGACAGCCAGUGUGUGCAGAAGGUGGGGUCCUCCCGGGAUGUCUGCUCUGGCUGCUGCCAUCCCAAGGAGGCUGUGGUCCACAUGUAAGGAUGCCACACCCAGCCUGGCUUUUGACCUCAGAGGGAAGACAGCGGCACCUGCUAAACCAGUCAGGCCCGGUGUGGCUCCGUUGCAGAUCUGACCCACUACAGAACUUCAGUCCAGGCUGGGGGCUGCUCCCGGAGCCCGUCUGAGCAGAGGACUAAGGGAACUGAAUGCCCAGACAUCCUUUGGACUGGCGUGGAGGUUCCCAAACUUCAGCACACGAGAGUUCUACUGCGCAGAGCUGGAAGCCUGGAACCGUGUCUGGUGUCCCACGGGUGAUCCCGGCGGGCCUUCAGGGUAACGCCGCUCAGUGUGUGCAGAGCCCUGUGGUGCCUCGGGACCACAGUCCUACAGCCCGGCCUCGGUGACCUGCUCCUCUGACCCCAUAUCACUUCCACUUCACUCCCCUUUCUCCCUCCUCUGGGGCCAUCGAGACUUUUCUCUUGUCCCUCACCUGGCUGGAUUUGUUCGGGGCUGCUGCCCCAGGCUCUAUACCUGCGCCUGGGGCAAGGUUGGUGCCUGCCAAGCAUUUGUUGUUCUUGACAAGUGCUGAGGAUGAAAGUAGCAGACGACAUGAUGUGGUGUAUUCAUUGCCCAAUGAUAGGCGCAGCGUGAAUUCCAGGUGUCGAGUGUCCUUCUACAUGUCUCCUCGGGCACGUGUGGAAGCAGUAGCCCCUUCAGCUUUGCUCUUCAUUGACAAAUUCGCAUUCCACCAUCAUGCGGCUGAAUUUCCCCAGAUCUUCGCUGACACUUGGUUCCCCAAAAGCCCCAUCUUAUCUCUGCUUUGCAAGGCCUCCUGAGCCCCAAAAGCAGAAAAACUCUGCUCCACUCAAGACAGGAGAGAACCAUCUAGGUGACUGCCUGAAUUUCCCUGGAAAAUUUCCCUGGAAACACCAUGAAGCAGUUUGUCAGCCAUCAAGUCCCCAUCAAGUUACCUAAAUUUUCAGUUAUCCAAAAAGCAGUAUCAAAUCACCUUCAAAGGCAUCGUUUUCAAGAGUACAAUCUGAUGAGUUUUGGCAAAUAUCCACGCUUGCCUAAGCAGACUUAUAUCUUCCAAAAUGCAUCAUUUCCAUGGGUUUUGAUCCUAUUCGUUGAAAACACAAAACUGCAAGUCUUCCCAAUCAGUGAGCGAGAACACUGACCCACAUUAGUGAAGACCGGCGUCUGCUGGCUGGAUUUUAACAGAAAACCUUUGCAUAGUUGGUAGAUGGAGUGGAAAGUGAGCCGGUGACUUAGUGAUGCCUGUUCCCCACUUGGAUCCACAUAUCUGUCUGAAGUGUCUUUUUAGUUAUUAAACCGAGGAUCAAGAACCAGGCUUCUGAACUGCUGCCUCACAAAGUGUUAAUCAGGACUUUCAAAAAUAAUGAAGCACAUUUAAUCACAUUGCCACUCACAAAGAAUAUCAUAAUUAAUAUGUGGAUGAGAGCAAAAAGAUUAUGUUGUUAAUAAAUAAGUUAUUUUAAA